ACGGGUGAGUAAUGUCUGGGAAACUGCCUGAUGGAGGGGGAUAACUACUGGAAACGGUAGCUAAUACCGCAUAACGUCGCAAGACCAAAGAGGGGGACCUUCGGGCCUCUUGCCAUCAGAUGUGCCCAGAUGGGAUUAGCUAGUAGGUGGGGUAACGGCUCACCUAGGCGACAAUCCCUAGCUGGUCUGAGAGGAUGACCAGCCACACUGGAACUGAGACACGGUCCAGACUCCUACGGGAGGCAGCCAUG
This 251-nucleotide ribosomal RNA is filed under the name uncultured bacterium. RNAcentral describes it as "partial 16S ribosomal RNA". It matches the Rfam family "Bacterial small subunit ribosomal RNA", at positions 102 to 352 of the family's 1533-position model. The record is from RNAcentral.